AAUAUUUGACAAUGGGGGCAACCCCGAUCCAGCCAUGCCGCGUGUGUGAAGAACGUCCUCGGAUUGUAAAGCACUUUAAGAUGCGGGGAAGGGCUGUAGCUCAAUACUCUGCAUUCUUGACGUUACCGAAAGAAUAACCACCGGCUACCUUCGUGCCAGCAGCCGCGGUAAUACGAAGGGUGCAAGCGUUAAUCGGAAUUAGUGGGCGUAAAGGGCGCGGAGGUGGUUUGUUAAGUUGGAAGUGAAAGCCCCGGGCUCAACCGGGGAACUGCUGUGAAAACUGGCGAGCUAGAGUAUGGCAGAGGGUGGUGGAAUUUCCUGUGUAGCGGUGAAAUGCGUAGAUAUAGGGAGGAACUCCAGUGGCGAAGGCGACCACCUGGGCUAUUACUGACACUGAGGUGCGAAAGCGUGGGGAGCGAACA
Molecule: ribosomal RNA, 422 nt
Filed under: uncultured bacterium
Lineage: Bacteria
Description: partial 16S ribosomal RNA
Rfam family: Bacterial small subunit ribosomal RNA
Source: RNAcentral